RNAcentral lists this ribosomal RNA (371 nucleotides) under uncultured bacterium. RNAcentral's name for it is "bacterial SSU rRNA". It matches the Rfam family "Bacterial small subunit ribosomal RNA", at positions 525 to 896 of the family's 1533-position model. The record is from RNAcentral.
ACGUAGGGGGCCAGCGUUGCUCGGAAUUACUGGGCGUAAAGGGUUCGUAGGUGGUGCGGCAAGUUGGAAGUGAAAUCUCUGGGCUUAACCCAGAGGCUGCUUUCAAAACUGCCGCGCUCGAGUGCGAGAGAGGUCAGUGGAAUUGCAGGUGUAGCGGUGAAAUGCGUAGAUAUCUGCAGGAACACCCGUGGCGAAGGCGGCUGACUGGAUCGCAACUGACACUGAGGAACGAAAGCUAGGGGAGCAAACAGGAUUAGAUACCCUGGUAGUCCUAGCCCUAAACCAUCGGAACUUGGGGUGGCCCGCGUAGGCGGGUCGUCCCGUAGCUAACGCGUUAAGUUCCGCGCCUGGGGAGUACGGUCGCAAGACUG